RNAcentral lists this ribosomal RNA (619 nucleotides) under Fictibacillus barbaricus. RNAcentral's name for it is "bacterial SSU rRNA". It matches the Rfam family "Bacterial small subunit ribosomal RNA", at positions 50 to 653 of the family's 1533-position model. Lineage: Bacteria; Bacillati; Bacillota; Bacilli; Caryophanales; Fictibacillaceae. The record is from RNAcentral.
UAUACAUGCAGUCGAGCGAAUGAAGAGGAGCUUGCUCCUCUGAUUUAGCGGCGGACGGGUGAGUAACACGUGGGUAAUCUGCCUGUAAGACGGGGAUAACUCCGGGAAACCGGGGCUAAUACCGGAUAAUAAGAAGAAACGCAUGUUUCUUUUUUGAAAGUCGGUUUCGGCUGACACUUACAGAUGAGCCCGCGGCGCAUUAGCUAGUUGGUGAGGUAACGGCUCACCAAGGCGACGAUGCGUAGCCGACCUGAGAGGGUGAUCGGCCACACUGGGACUGAGACACGGCCCAGACUCCUACGGGAGGCAGCAGUAGGGAAUCUUCGGCAAUGGGCGAAAGCCUGACCGAGCAACGCCGCGUGAGCGAUGAAGGCCUUCGGGUCGUAAAGCUCUGUUGUUAGAGAAGAACAAGUACGAGAGUAACUGCUCGUACCUUGACGGUACCUAACCAGAAAGCCACGGCUAACUACGUGCCAGCAGCCGCGGUAAUACGUAGGUGGCAAGCGUUAUCCGGAAUUAUUGGGCGUAAAGCGCGCGCAGGCGGUCUCUUAAGUCUGAUGUGAAAGCCCACGGCUCAACCGUGGAGGGUCAUUGGAAACUGGGAGACUUGAGUGCAGGA